Molecule: unclassified non-coding RNA, 545 nt
Filed under: Epicoccum nigrum
Lineage: Eukaryota; Fungi; Ascomycota; Dothideomycetes; Pleosporales; Didymellaceae
Description: sequence contains 18S rRNA gene, ITS1, 5.8S rRNA gene, ITS2, 28S rRNA gene
Rfam family: 5.8S ribosomal RNA (bases 187-340)
Source: RNAcentral
UCGUAACAAGGUUUCCGUAGGUGAACCUGCGGAAGGAUCAUUACCUAGAGUUUGUAGACUUCGGUCUGCUACCUCUUACCCAUGUCUUUUGAGUACCUUCGUUUCCUCGGCGGGUCCGCCCGCCGAUUGGACAACAUUCAAACCCUUUGCAGUUGCAAUCAGCGUCUGAAAAAACAUAAUAGUUACAACUUUCAACAACGGAUCUCUUGGUUCUGGCAUCGAUGAAGAACGCAGCGAAAUGCGAUAAGUAGUGUGAAUUGCAGAAUUCAGUGAAUCAUCGAAUCUUUGAACGCACAUUGCGCCCCUUGGUAUUCCAUGGGGCAUGCCUGUUCGAGCGUCAUUUGUACCUUCAAGCUCUGCUUGGUGUUGGGUGUUUGUCUCGCCUCUGCGUGUAGACUCGCCUUAAAACAAUUGGCAGCCGGCGUAUUGAUUUCGGAGCGCAGUACAUCUCGCGCUUUGCACUCAUAACGACGACGUCCAAAAGUACAUUUUUACACUCUUGACCUCGGAUCAGGUAGGGAUACCCGCUGAACUUAAGCAUAUCA